Molecule: ribosomal RNA, 270 nt
Filed under: uncultured Lactococcus sp.
Lineage: Bacteria; Bacillati; Bacillota; Bacilli; Lactobacillales; Streptococcaceae
Description: partial 16S ribosomal RNA
Rfam family: Bacterial small subunit ribosomal RNA
Source: RNAcentral
GUAGUCCACGCCGUAAACGAUGAGUGCUAGUUGUUUGGGGCUAUCCAGCCCUAAGUGACGCAGCAAACGCAUUAAGCACUCCGCCUGGGGAGUACGACCGCAAGGUUGAAACUCAAAGGAAUUGACGGGGGCCCGCACAAGCGGUGGAGCAUGUGGUUUAAUUCGAAGCAACGCGAAGAACCUUACCAGGUCUUGACAUACCAGUGCUAUUCUUAGAGAUAAGAAGUUACUUCGGUACACUGGAUACAGGUGGUGCAUGGUUGUCGUCAG